Molecule: non-coding RNA, 1308 nt
Organism: Spodoptera litura
Lineage: Eukaryota; Metazoa; Arthropoda; Insecta; Lepidoptera; Noctuidae
Source: RefSeq, a predicted model, not a curated record
AGUGUCGCGCCAAACACAUUGUAAGACACACAUUUACCGCCAAAGCCGUUCAAGCGGGCACCUCGCUUCACCAUUCAUUACUUCACCGUACUAACUGAUGCACUGAGCACUCGCUGUUAGCUCCAAGCCUGAAAAUCAUCAAAAAAAACCUGUAUCACCAAUAUUUUGUGAUCCUUGUGUGUUUUGGCAACACCCCAAGUGUUAGUUCGCAUUUUAUUCCAAACAUUUGAAACUGACAGUCGCGAGUUGUGGAAUUCUUUUUUUGAAUUUAUUAUUUAUUUAUUUGGCCUGUGUUUUUUUUUAUUUGUUGUGUGCCAGUUGUAUUUUUGUCGUCUACCGUUUACGGAAGGAGAUACACACGAUGUCUCAAAACUGCAAAGCUUCUUACGCUGCGGCGACCACUCGGGACGCAAAUAAUAACACGCUGUAUCAUGGAGGAACUGGACAAGGAUUCGGAGGGAGGAGCUAUGGUCCUCCUGGUGUCACCACGAAAGCCACUCAAAUGACAGCGAAAGUGCUUUUCGGAGGAUCGACGAUCAACGACCUCACCAAAAGGCAAGAGAAGACGGAGCGGGAAGUGCGGCGGACACAUUAGCGACAUCUAGACUCAGGCGCUGUAUAUGUGAUAAGAAAGUCUUGGAAGCUAAGGAGUGAUCUCGGAAGACAGAAUUAAUGUCCAUAAUAAAUAUUUUUAUAUACAUUUUGUAUUGCUAAUAAGAAAUUAUCAAUAUUUACACGUAUCACUGAUUCUAGAACAUUUUGCAGUAAUUCUUAAGUCUUCUUAAAAGUCUUGGUCGAUUGCUUUGUCGAGCUAAAGUAUUUUUGGAUAUUAUAAAAUACUACAGUUGCGAACAGUCAAUAAUACAAGGUGUACCUCAUUACACUAUGGGGCUCCUAAUAAAAAUAGUAAAAACGCUUUGUUAUCUUUCAUAAGCACCUCUGGCUAACCGGGAAUAAAAUUAAAUACGUCAUAUAUUAUAGAACAGCGACAUCUAGGUUCAGUGUUAAGUGUCAAAUUUAUUAAUUUUAGAUAAGGUACUGUUACACUUGGUCUAAAACAGCAUGCUAUAAAAAAUUGAACGCUUGUCGAUUCAAAGUCAAAGUCAAAAUUCCAACACAUGCUACUAAGUGGCAAAUGCUCAAUUGAAGCAUGCUUUCGUACUUGAAAUAAGCAUGGUGUAACAGUAUCUAUAGUUUUAAAAAGAGAUUGUAUAUUAAGAGAACCCAUAAAGGCCAUUACAAGAUCAUUGUUUCCUAAAUACCCGCCUCCUUAUGAAAUUUUAUCGAAAUUUAAUAAAAAAAUAUAUU